RNAcentral lists this transfer RNA (69 nucleotides) under Bos taurus (domestic cattle). It matches the Rfam family "tRNA". Rfam says of the family: Transfer RNA (tRNA) molecules are approximately 80 nucleotides in length. Their secondary structure includes four short double-helical elements and three loops (D, anti-codon, and T loops). RNAcentral also lists the same sequence under 2 other names. The record is from Rfam by way of RNAcentral. Lineage: Eukaryota; Metazoa; Chordata; Mammalia; Artiodactyla; Bovidae.
UCCCAGGUGGCUCAGUGGGAGAACCCGCCUGCCAAGCAGGAGAUGCAGGUUCUAUCCCUGAGCUGGGAA